This 603-nucleotide small RNA is filed under the name Pongo abelii (Sumatran orangutan). RNAcentral's name for it is "processed transcript". Lineage: Eukaryota; Metazoa; Chordata; Mammalia; Primates; Hominidae. The record is from RNAcentral.
GUGCCCCGCUCCCUGCUCAACUGCAGGGAAGCCAAGCAGGUCUGCCCAUACUCUGCAGAACAAGCCAGAAGAUUUCCAGUGUGGGGUCGCCUGGUGGAGCAGUUUCAGCCCCAAAGGAGAGGACGGCACUAGGCCAGGGGCAGAUGAGAAGAAGAAGUGAGAGUCUGUGGAAACAGCCAUAUGGGGGAGCUGGGGGUCCCUCGGGUGCCCGCUGCUGUUUGCAGCCUCCAACUCAGGCAUGCUUGGUGCACAGUUGCAGGGACGCAACUCAGGCCGUUCUCUAGGGUGCCCUUCCCUCUCCAGCCACCUCUUCCCAUGUCCCCAGCUUUUGUUUUGAUCCUGUUUUUCACUCCAGUACAUCGACGCCAUUAGCAACAAGCAGGGCGAGCUGGAGAAUUACGUGUCCGACGGCUACAAGACCGCACUGACAGAGGAGCGCAGACGCUUCUGCUUCCUGGUGGAGAAGCAGUGCGCCGUGGCCAAGAACUCGGCAGCCUACCACUCCAAGGGCAAGGAGCUGCUGGCACAGAAGCUGCCGCUGUGGCAACAGGCUUGUGCCGACCCCAGCAAGAUCCCGGAGCGCGCCGUGCAGCUGAUGCAGCA